This 442-nucleotide ribosomal RNA is filed under the name uncultured bacterium. RNAcentral's name for it is "partial 16S ribosomal RNA". It matches the Rfam family "Bacterial small subunit ribosomal RNA", at positions 338 to 795 of the family's 1533-position model. The record is from RNAcentral.
CCUACGGGUGGCAGCAGUGGGGAAUAUUGGGCAAUGGUCGCAAGCCUGACCCAGCAACGCCGCGUGAAGGAAUAAGGCUUUCGGGUUGUAAACUUCUUUUGUCAGGGAAGAGUAGAAGACGGUACCUGACGAAUAAGCCACGGCUAACUACGUGCCAGCAGCCGCGGUAAUACGUAGGUGGCAAGCGUUGUCCGGAUUUACUGGUUGUAAAGGGCGUGUAGCCGGGUUGACAAGUCAGAUGUGAAAUCCUGCGGCUUAACCGCAGAACUGCAUUUGAAACUGUUGAUCUUGAGUACUGGAGAGGCAGAUGGAAUUCGUAGUGUAGCGGUGAAAUGCGUAGAUAUUAGGAGGAACACCAGUGGCGAAGGCGGUCUGCUGGACAGCAACUGACGGUGAGGCGCGAAAGCGUGGGGAGCAAACAGGAUUAGAGACCCGGGUAGUC